AGAUACGCGAAAAACCUUACCAGGCCUUGACAUCCCAUGCAAUGCUAUAGAGAUAUAGUGGAGGUUACCAUGGAGACAGGUGGUGCAUGGUUGUCGUCAGCUCGUGUCGUGAGAUGUUGGGUUAAGUCCCGCAACGAGCGCAACCCUUAUUGCUAGUUGCCAUCAUUUAGUUGGGGACUCUAGCGAGACUGCCGGUGACAAACUGGAGGAAGGUGGGGAUGACGUCAAAUCAUCAUGCCCCUUAUGGCCUGGGCUACAAACGUGAUACAAUGGGUGCUACAAAGGGCAGCGAAGCCGUGAGGUGGAGCGAAACCCAUAAAAGCACUCUCAGUUCGGAUUGAAGUCUGCAACUCGACUUCAUGAAGUUGGAAUCGCUAGUAAUCGCAAAUCAGAAUGUUGCGGUGAAUACGUUCUCGGGGUUUGUACACACCGCCCGUCAAACCACGAAAGUCAGCAAUACCCAAAGCCGGUGGCCUAACCGUAAGGAGGGAGCCGUUUAAGGUAGGGUUGAUGAUUGGGGUUAAGUCGUAACAAGGUAACCAAGGGC
This 547-nucleotide ribosomal RNA is filed under the name uncultured bacterium. RNAcentral describes it as "bacterial SSU rRNA". It matches the Rfam family "Bacterial small subunit ribosomal RNA", at positions 955 to 1507 of the family's 1533-position model. The record is from RNAcentral.